This 254-nucleotide ribosomal RNA is filed under the name uncultured bacterium. RNAcentral's name for it is "partial 16S ribosomal RNA". It matches the Rfam family "Bacterial small subunit ribosomal RNA", at positions 524 to 776 of the family's 1533-position model. The record is from RNAcentral.
UACGGAGGGUGCAAGCGUUAUCCGGAUUUACUGGGUUUAAAGGGUGCGUAGGUGGGUAGGUAAGUCAGUGGUGAAAUCUCCGGGCUUAACUCGGAACGGUCAAGUGAUACUGUCGUGCUAGAGUACAGAAGGGGCAACUGGAAUUCUCGGGUGUAGCGGUGAAAUGCGUAGAUAUCAAGAGGAACACCUGCGGCGAAGGCGGGUUGCUGGGCCGACACUGACGCUGAGGCGCGAAAGCCAGGGGAGCGAACGGG